AACGAUACUUUCGUACUAGAGUGCCCACACGAGUAAUCAAAUAUUUAAAAGAAGAUCUUUAUAAGUUUUGGUAUGUAAUUUUCUAGUGUUUAUAUCAUUAUGAUAUUUACACCAGUGUCAUAUCUUUUUGAUAUGUACACGUAGAUCACUGCAUUUAAUAGAAGAAAAUUUUAUUAAGUUAUUCUCAAACAAUAACCAAAAAACUUAGUUCGCUUAAAAGGAGAACUAAGUAUAUAGCCCUUUUU
This 245-nucleotide unclassified non-coding RNA is filed under the name uncultured bacterium. RNAcentral's name for it is "partial 16S-23S ribosomal RNA intergenic spacer". The record is from RNAcentral.